This is a non-coding RNA of Phodopus roborovskii (desert hamster), 73 nucleotides long. NCBI's taxonomy places the organism in Eukaryota, Metazoa, Chordata, Mammalia, Rodentia, Cricetidae. The record is from the annotation of a RefSeq genome assembly.
GCUCAGCUAGCUUAGUCAGUAGAUCAUGAGACUUUUAAUCUCAGGGUCAUGGGUUCGAGCCCCAUGUUGGGUG